RNAcentral lists this ribosomal RNA (471 nucleotides) under uncultured Methanomicrobiales archaeon. RNAcentral describes it as "bacterial SSU rRNA". It matches the Rfam family "Archaeal small subunit ribosomal RNA", at positions 871 to 1337 of the family's 1478-position model. Lineage: Archaea; Methanobacteriati; Methanobacteriota; Methanomicrobia; Methanomicrobiales. The record is from RNAcentral.
ACGGGGAGCACCACAACAGGUGGAGCCUGCGGUUUAAUCGGACUCAACGCCGGGAAACUCACCAGAUAAGACAGCUGAAUGAUAGUCGGGCUGAAGACUCUACUUGACUAGCUGAGAGGAGGUGCAUGGCCGUCGUCAGUUCGUACUGUGAAGCAUCCUGUUAAGUCAGGCAACGAGCGAGACCCACGCCAACAGUUGCCAGCUCGUCCUCCGGGAUGGUGGGGGACACUGUUGGGACCGCCUCUGCUAAAGAGGAGGAAGGAAUGGGCAACGGUAGGUCAGCAUGCCCCGAAUUAUCUGGGCUACACGCGGGCUACAAUGGGUGGGACAAUGGGUAUCGACACCGAAAGGUGAAGGCAAUCUCCUAAACCCAUCCGUAGUUCGGAUUGUGGGCUGCAACUCGCCCACAUGAAGCUGGAAUCUGUAGUAAUCGCGUUUCAAAAUAGCGCGGUGAAUAUGUCCCUGCUCCUU